AUGAAAGUAACACUGGAACCCAUGUUUAGUUAGAACCAGUCAUUUUCUUAACAAGUAUGUUGGUCAAACUGAUGAUGUUCCGACGUUAAUCAUGUUGUUCGCCGUGGAUUUCGUAUGUGUAUACGUUGGAAUAUUCUGAUUCAGAGGAUGAAAAGGAUUUUGGUGAAGAAAUUCCAGACAGAAAUGCGAAGGUUGUAACAGUAAAAGUAAAUUCCCUUUGUACUGACCUCAUCAUCAAAUCAGGACCUUCUGUGGCACGGAACAGACUGGGAAAGUGCGUGGUCAGGUCCAUAAAAAUCUGAGUACAGCCAAAGAAGAGAAUUCAAUUUGGAAGUUGGCCCUCAGAUUCUAUGCAAGCAGAUUUUAAUGACAAGAAAUCUGUUGACGAGGACACCAAGUACGCAGAAGUGCUGCUUGUGUCUGACAAAAACUUUUUCCAGGCCUUUCUUUCAGGCUUCUGAUAUUAUCUAUGAUGAGAAUAUAGGACACCCAGUAGAUUUAAUGUUAUGUUGAGCUGCGUAUCUGGAGAUAGUAAAGGAUGAGGUUCUUGCUGUGGGUCAGAUGUUGUGCCGUGUAGUCUGGUAGAAGUUGACAUACUUUUCAUAGGAGCUUAAUGCCACCAUCGUGAGGGUAAACACAGCGUGGUGUAACAUCCAAGAAAAUCUCUACAUCCCACAUUGAUGUUCUUGAAUUAAGAUCUGAGGUAUGUAGUCUUUAUUCGGUUAACUCAGGAUAGGGUUCAGUAUUGGUCUGUUGUCAGCAUAUCAGAGUUCAAUAAAAGGUAACAAAUUCUGUGAUGGACUGAGCUGGAGAGCUCUGCUCCAUGAAGUUUGUGUUGAUUCAAAUGAAUAAAGACACAGAUAUACUAAUCGUAUGGUUAUAUUAUCGCGCGUCGUAGCCGCGCGGUCUGAGGCAUCAUGCUUCGGACGGAAUGCGCGCUGGUUCGAGUCUCGGGGGAGAAUAAAUUUUCUCGUGAGCUUUC
Zootermopsis nevadensis is the source of this 982-nucleotide non-coding RNA. The record is from RefSeq and is a predicted model, not a curated record. Lineage: Eukaryota; Metazoa; Arthropoda; Insecta; Blattodea; Termopsidae.